Musa acuminata subsp. malaccensis (wild Malaysian banana) is the source of this 1468-nucleotide long non-coding RNA. RefSeq lists it as uncharacterized. The record is from RefSeq and is a predicted model, not a curated record. Lineage: Eukaryota; Viridiplantae; Streptophyta; Magnoliopsida; Zingiberales; Musaceae.
GACCGAACUGGAAUCGUAUUGUUAGAACGCUCUCGCUCUCUCGUCGUCAGUCUCGCUUGUUCGUUUUCUUCCGCUGGAUUGUGGUUUUGACGCCUUCUUUCAGGUGGAGUCGCUAUCAAUCCACGAUGACUAUGGUUUCCUCGUAAGAGGUGGCUUUGUGGCUCGUGGUGUUCGUCUUGGUCACCCUUUCCCUUCGUGCCCUGUUUUGAUACGAGGGAUUUCAGAGCAUGGAAUUAGUUGGUUGAUGGCGUUGAUUUUUUGUGCCUUGUUUCUUGUCUGGUUUUGGUUUGUCGCUGUUAGAAUCCAGCUUGAGGUUAUGCUUUCGAAUUUUUGGAAAUUUUAGAAAUCAGCUAUCGCAUUUCACGGGGUCAUCUUUCCGCUCGUUUUCACUGGAAUCAGAUGAUCCUUUGUUUGUUGUUCUUUUGUUCGAGGUUAAUGCUACUAAGUUAUCAAAUAGCAUUUCCUUGCUCUAUUUCAGUUUUACAGCUUAUUUGGAAGAAGGCAACUAUAUGCAUAGAGCAUAAGAGGAGGAAAACUAUUGCUGAGAGUUUUGGAGAAGAAGAGCUCUAAGAGGUCAGGUGGAGAAGAGUGGUAGCUUUGGAAGGAAUCCAUGCUAAGUGAUGGUGGUGCUGGUGGAAUGGAGCAGAAGAUGCCAGAGUCAAGACUUCCAACCCAAUUAUGAUACCGGUCAUCAUCAUGUCUUUGAAAAUGAUUUGAGCCAUCCAUAUGGUAGGGCGAAGAUACAAGGAUUUGAAGUAUCACCGGAGAGACAUGUGCACAGGGCAUUGGAUCCCUCCACCAUUAGCAUUGAGAUCUCCCAGUCAGUGGACAUUCUGGAGUGCAAGGUGGGCAGCACAAGGAUUGCUAUCUCUGAGGGGUAUCUUGAGAUUGGUUGAGUGUCUGACUCUAAAACAACUUGCUUGCCAAAGAGCGAGAGUUAACGAGAGCAGUGCAGGUGCUCUCAUUGUGCUGGGAUUUGGUAUUGGUUUUCGGCUUGCACUAGAAUGCUGUAGAAAGUGGAGAAAUCAGUAGAUGACAAAUGCAAAUAUCAAUCCUGGGUACCAAGUUGCAGUAUAGAUUACCUUGUAUGUAGUUUUGAGCAAUAAUACAGAAAGUCUCUUGUAGAGUACAUAAAUAAUUCACUUUUUGCCUCAUUUACCUGUACCAUUUAAGAAGGUUUGUUGGUAAAUGAUCGAUUGAAUGACUAGUGUUGUUUUUUCAUCAUAUCAUUGUUUGUAACUACCAUUUGCAUUUUGGAAACUCCAGAUUUUCUGCAAACAUGUUUUUUUAUGCCACUAUGUUGCUAUGGUUUAUCAUUCUUUUAACUGCAAUAUUUUUAACUUCAUUUAUUUAUAUUUUAUCUAUUCUUUUAGUAUGUCAUACAAUUAGUAUGUAUCUGAUAGAUACACUGACUAAGAAGAAAAUUAGCAUAAUCUAUUUGCAGGAAACUAAGUGGACAGAAAAAAAA